UGCAGGCAGGCCCACCACAGAGCACAGGUACCACACCACAGCCAGUGCUCCACCUUAAAAUUCAAUUUCCCAUCGAAUUUCCCACUCAGCAGCCAGGGCUGUGGUGGAGCUGCAGCUCCAUCCUGCUGGGGACAGCCCCAGGCACAGAGAUCCCCACUCCAACCCUGCCCUGCCACAUCAGCCAGCUGCCAGAACCUGGGCAUUUCUCCCAAAGGGGCAGGCACAGCCAGGGUGCACCCCUGGGAUGCAUUUUCAUGGUUUGGGGUGGCUCCAAACCCUCCAAACCCUUCCCCUCCUGUCCUGAAAGCCAAGAAAACAACUGGGAGCUGCCCCAUUGCACCUCCUCCCUGGACAGGAACUCAGCUUUGGGUCAAAGCAGGGAGCUCAUCACAGCAGCACGAGAACCAGAGGGGAUUCUCACUGAGAGACACAGAAUGCAUCGAGGCUGAAGGGCCACACAGGGUCACCUGUGCCACCCUCUGCAGGCAGGGCCAUCCCAGGGCACAGGUGGGCACAGGUGGGCAGGGCCAUCCCAGGGCACAGGUGGGCACAGGUGGGCACAGGUGGCUCUGGGCUCCCCAGGUGGGCAGGGCCAUCCCAGGGCACAGGUGGGCACAGGUGGCUCUGGGCUCCCCAGGCAGGGCCAUCCCAGGGCACAGGUGGGCACAGGUGGCUCUGGGCUCCCCAGGCAGGGAGGCUCCACAGCCUCUCUGGGCUCUGCUCAGGGCUGGCACUGCCCAGGGCAGCAGUUCUGCCUCCUGGGCAGGGGCAGCUCCUGGGCUCAGGCCCUGCCCGUGGCUCUGGGGCCAUGGCUGGGCCUGGAGCAGAGCCUGGGGCUGCCCUGACCUUGGCACACUGGGACAGACAGACACAGAAACAGACUG
Molecule: long non-coding RNA, 884 nt
Organism: Serinus canaria (Common canary)
Lineage: Eukaryota; Metazoa; Chordata; Aves; Passeriformes; Fringillidae
Exons: 3
Source: RefSeq, a predicted model, not a curated record